GCAGGGCCAAAUACUGUGUUCUUUUUUAUCAGUUGUUUACAUAGCCAGACAUCAUGCAAAAAAAUAAGA
RNAcentral lists this small nucleolar RNA (69 nucleotides) under Vulpes vulpes (red fox). RNAcentral describes it as "Small nucleolar RNA SNORA15 (ENSVVUG00000027353.1)". It matches the Rfam family "Small nucleolar RNA SNORA15". From Rfam's summary of the family: ACA15 is a member of the H/ACA class of snoRNA that guide the sites of modification of uridines to pseudouridines. Lineage: Eukaryota; Metazoa; Chordata; Mammalia; Carnivora; Canidae. The record is from RNAcentral.